Molecule: ribosomal RNA, 501 nt
Filed under: uncultured bacterium
Lineage: Bacteria
Description: bacterial SSU rRNA
Rfam family: Bacterial small subunit ribosomal RNA
Source: RNAcentral
GACGAACGCUGGCGGCAUGGAUUAGGCAUGCAAGUCGAACGGUAUCAUCCUUUCGGGGGGUGAGAGAGUGGCGAACUGGUGAGUAACACGUAGGUUAUCUACCCUCAAGACGGGGACAACCCAGGGAAACUUGGGCUAAUACCGGAUGUGAGCAACUUUUUAGUUGUUUGAAAGGUGGCGUAAGCUGUCGCUUGGGGAUGAGCCUGCGUCCUAUUAGUUAGUUGGUGAGGUAACGGCUCACCUAGGCAAUGAUAGGUAGGCGGCCUUAACGGGUGGUCGCCCACACUGGGAUUGAGAUACGGCCCAGACUCCUACGGGAGGCAGCAGUCGAGAAUAGUCUACAAUGGUCGGAAGACUGAUAGUGCGACGCCGCGUGAACGAUGAAUCCCUUCGGGGUGUAAAGUUCUUUUAUAUGUGAGCAGUGCUUCUUAUAUUAACAGUAUGGGGAGAGAGAUAUUAGCAUAUGAAUAAGCAACGGCUAACUCCGUGCCAGCAGCCGAC